This 305-nucleotide ribosomal RNA is filed under the name uncultured bacterium. RNAcentral's name for it is "bacterial SSU rRNA". It matches the Rfam family "Bacterial small subunit ribosomal RNA", at positions 333 to 637 of the family's 1533-position model. The record is from RNAcentral.
UGGAACCUACGGGACGCAGCAGUGAGGAAUAUUGGUCAAUGGGCGAGAGCCUGAACCAGCCAAGUCGCGUGAGGGAGUACUGCCCUAUGGGUUGUAAACCUCUUUUGUCGGGGAGCAAAAGCCGGACGUGUCCGGCUGUGAGAGUACCCGAAGAAAAAGCAUCGGCUAACUCCGUGCCAGCAGCCGCGGUAAUACGGAGGAUGCGAGCGUUAUCCGGAUUUAUUGGGUUUAAAGGGUGCGCAGGCGGCGAGUUAAGUCAGCGGUAAAAUUUCGGGGCUCAACCCCGACGAGCCGUUGAAACUGGC